This 2916-nucleotide ribosomal RNA is filed under the name Vibrio parahaemolyticus. RNAcentral describes it as "23S ribosomal RNA". It matches the Rfam family "Bacterial large subunit ribosomal RNA". The record is from RNAcentral. Lineage: Bacteria; Pseudomonadati; Pseudomonadota; Gammaproteobacteria; Vibrionales; Vibrionaceae.
GUUGUAUGGUUAAGUGACUAAGCGUACACGGUGGAUGCCUUGGCAGUCAGAGGCGAUGAAAGACGUAGUAACUUGCGAUAAGCCCAGAUUAGGUAGUAACAACCAUUUGAGUCUGGGAUUUCUGAAUGGGGAAACCCACUUACAUAAGUAAGUAUCAUUAACUGAAUACAUAGGUUAAUGAGGCGAACCGGGGGAACUGAAACAUCUAAGUACCCCGAGGAAAAGAAAUCAACCGAGAUUCCGAAAGUAGCGGCGAGCGAAAUUGGACUAGCCCUUAAGCUUUACACGCGUUAGACGAACGGUCUGGAAAGUCCGACGAUACAGGGUGAUAGUCCCGUAGUUGACGACGUGUGUUCAGUGAAAUCGAGUAGGGCGGGACACGUGAUAUCCUGUCUGAAUAUGGGGGGACCAUCCUCCAAGGCUAAAUACUACUGACUGACCGAUAGUGAACCAGUACCGUGAGGGAAAGGCGAAAAGAACCCCUGUGAGGGGAGUGAAAUAGAACCUGAAACCGUGUACGUACAAGCAGUAGGAGCAGGCUUUGUCCUGUGACUGCGUACCUUUUGUAUAAUGGGUCAGCGACUUAUAUUCAGUGGCAAGGUUAACCAUCUAGGGGAGCCGUAGGGAAACCGAGUCUUAACUGGGCGUUCAGUCUCUGGAUAUAGACCCGAAACCAGGUGAUCUAGCCAUGGGCAGGUUGAAGGUUGAGUAACAUCAACUGGAGGACCGAACCGACUAAUGUUGAAAAAUUAGCGGAUGACUUGUGGCUAGGGGUGAAAGGCCAAUCAAACCUGGAGAUAGCUGGUUCUCCCCGAAAGCUAUUUAGGUAGCGCCUCGGACGAAUACUACUGGGGGUAGAGCACUGUUAAGGCUAGGGGGUCAUCCCGACUUACCAACCCUUUGCAAACUCCGAAUACCAGUAAGUACUAUCCGGGAGACACACGGCGGGUGCUAACGUCCGUCGUGGAGAGGGAAACAACCCAGACCGCCAGCUAAGGUCCCAAAUUACUACUAAGUGGGAAACGAUGUGGGAAGGCUCAGACAGCCAGGAUGUUGGCUUAGAAGCAGCCAUCAUUUAAAGAAAGCGUAAUAGCUCACUGGUCGAGUCGGCCUGCGCGGAAGAUGUAACGGGGCUAAGUAGUAAACCGAAGCUGCGGCAAUAUACUUUUGUAUAUUGGGUAGGGGAGCGUUCUGUAAGCGGUUGAAGGUGUGUGGUAACGCAUGCUGGACGUAUCAGAAGUGCGAAUGCUGACAUGAGUAACGAUAAAGGGGGUGAAAAACCUCCUCGCCGGAAGACCAAGGGUUCCUGUCCAACGUUAAUCGGGGCAGGGUAAGUCGACCCCUAAGGCGAGGCCGAAAGGCGUAGUCGAUGGGAAACGGGUUAAUAUUCCCGUACUUCUUACAAUUGCGAUGGGGGGACGGAGAAGGCUAGGUGGGCCUGGCGACGGUUGUCCAGGUUCAAGUGCGUAGGCUUAAGAGUUAGGUAAAUCCGGCUCUUUCUAAGGCUGAGACACGACGUCGAGCACCUACGGGUGUGAAGUCAUUGAUGCCAUGCUUCCAGGAAAAGCCUCUAAGCUUCAGAUUGUAAGGAAUCGUACCCCAAACCGACACAGGUGGUCGGGUAGAGAAUACCAAGGCGCUUGAGAGAACUCGGGUGAAGGAACUAGGCAAAAUGGUACCGUAACUUCGGGAGAAGGUACGCUCUCGACGGUGAAGUCCCUCGCGGAUGGAGCUAUUGAGAGUCGCAGAUACCAGGUGGCUGCAACUGUUUAUUAAAAACACAGCACUGUGCAAAAUCGUAAGAUGACGUAUACGGUGUGACGCCUGCCCGGUGCCGGAAGGUUAAUUGAUGGGGUUAGACUUCGGUCGAAGCUCUUGAUCGAAGCCCCGGUAAACGGCGGCCGUAACUAUAACGGUCCUAAGGUAGCGAAAUUCCUUGUCGGGUAAGUUCCGACCUGCACGAAUGGCGUAAUGAUGGCCACGCUGUCUCCACCCGAGACUCAGUGAAAUUGAAAUCGCUGUGAAGAUGCAGUGUACCCGCGGCUAGACGGAAAGACCCCGUGAACCUUUACUACAGCUUGGCACUGAACAUUGACCCUACAUGUGUAGGAUAGGUGGGAGGCUUUGAAGCACGUACGCCAGUAUGUGUGGAGCCGUCCUUGAAAUACCACCCUUGUAGUGUUGAUGUUCUAACGUCGACCCCUUAUCGGGGUUGCGGACAGUGCCUGGUGGGUAGUUUGACUGGGGCGGUCUCCUCCCAAAGAGUAACGGAGGAGCACGAAGGUGGGCUAAUCACGGUUGGACAUCGUGAGGUUAGUGCAAUGGCAUAAGCCCGCUUGACUGCGAGAAUGACAAUUCGAGCAGGUGCGAAAGCAGGUCAUAGUGAUCCGGUGGUUCUGAAUGGAAGGGCCAUCGCUCAACGGAUAAAAGGUACUCCGGGGAUAACAGGCUGAUACCGCCCAAGAGUUCAUAUCGACGGCGGUGUUUGGCACCUCGAUGUCGGCUCAUCACAUCCUGGGGCUGAAGUCGGUCCCAAGGGUAUGGCUGUUCGCCAUUUAAAGUGGUACGCGAGCUGGGUUUAGAACGUCGUGAGACAGUUCGGUCCCUAUCUGCCGUGGGCGUUGGAAGAUUGAAGGGGGCUGCUCCUAGUACGAGAGGACCGGAGUGGACGAACCUCUGGUGUUCGGGUUGUGUCGCCAGACGCAUUGCCCGGUAGCUAAGUUCGGAAUCGAUAACCGCUGAAAGCAUCUAAGCGGGAAGCGAGCCCUGAGAUGAGUCUUCCCUGAUACUUUAAGUAUCCUAAAGGGUUGUCGGAGACUACGACGUUGAUAGGUCAGGUGUGUAAGUGCUGUGAGGCAUUGAGCUAACUGAUACUAAUUGCCCGUGAGGCUUAACCAUACAACACCCAAGGGGUUU